UCCUCUGUAACCAUCCCUGUCACCAUACCUAGGCCUGUCACCCUCAAAACGAGGAGGACCCCUGCCAAAUUUAGCAAAACCAUUUAGUCAAUAUGAAUACAUCAGUGCUCCUGAUAUAUGAAUGUAACAGAAACAGACAAGCUGGAAACCAUGGAACAAUUACAUUUCAUACUUUGCCAAAAGUAACUACUUAUUGUUUUAACUACACAGCAUUCUGGGGAGGGAAAUUGUAAAAUGACUGGUAGAAUAUACAGAUAUAUAAAGAAGGCAAGCCUAAUUCCCUUGUGUUCCCACAACUAAAUCACAUGGCCAUAUAACAGAAAUGUAACAAAGAUUAUUAUUGAGGAUUAACAUGUGUCAUGAUGGCAAGAUUCAUCAAAUAAUUUCAUCUUAUAUAAACAAUUGUUGGAUCAGAACUAAAAAUCAUAAUCAUUCCAGGUCAAACAAUCUUCAGGUUUAUACAGACAUAUCAAAAUAUACAAUACAACAAGAUCAUCAACGAGGUUAUAUUCUAAACAGCAACACAAACCAUAUAAACACACUGAAUGAAGAGAAUAGCUCACCUGGGGCGGUCACCGGGUGGGCCAGAGCCGAAGGGGCGGGACGGGGGCUUGGCGGACUUCUUGAGGGUGUUGGGCACGAUCUCAGACGGCAGGUUGAGGAAGGUGCGGAGGAACUCAAUGCCGUCGUUGGUCAGGUACCAGUAGUAGUGCUGCCACGAGAAGGUCUCCCUGACGUAC
RNAcentral lists this long non-coding RNA (740 nucleotides) under Hordeum vulgare. RNAcentral's name for it is "long non-coding RNA (HVUL_LNC008301)". Lineage: Eukaryota; Viridiplantae; Streptophyta; Magnoliopsida; Poales; Poaceae. The record is from RNAcentral.